GCGGCGGUGGGUCAGUGGUAGAAUUCUCACCUUCCAUGUGAGAAUCCUGGGUUCAAAUCCCAGCCAGUGCA
This 71-nucleotide transfer RNA is filed under the name Loxodonta africana (African savanna elephant). It matches the Rfam family "tRNA". From Rfam's summary of the family: Transfer RNA (tRNA) molecules are approximately 80 nucleotides in length. Their secondary structure includes four short double-helical elements and three loops (D, anti-codon, and T loops). Further hydrogen bonds mediate the characteristic L-shaped molecular structure. tRNAs have two regions of fundamental functional importance: the anti-codon, which is responsible for specific mRNA codon recognition, and the 3' end, to which the tRNAs corresponding amino acid is attached (by aminoacyl-tRNA synthetases). tRNAs cope with the degeneracy of the genetic code in two manners: having more than one tRNA (with a specific anti-codon) for a particular amino acid; and 'wobble' base-pairing, i.e. permitting non-standard base-pairing at the 3rd anti-codon position. Lineage: Eukaryota; Metazoa; Chordata; Mammalia; Proboscidea; Elephantidae. The record is from Rfam by way of RNAcentral.